RNAcentral lists this ribosomal RNA (590 nucleotides) under uncultured bacterium. RNAcentral describes it as "bacterial SSU rRNA". It matches the Rfam family "Bacterial small subunit ribosomal RNA", at positions 337 to 917 of the family's 1533-position model. The record is from RNAcentral.
UCCUACGGGAGGCAGCAGUAGGGAAUCUUCCGCAAUGGACGAAAGUCUGACGGAGCAACGCCGCGUGAGUGAUGAGGGUUUUCGGAUCGUAAAACUCUGUUGUUAGGGAAGAACAAGUGCUAGUUGAAUAAGCUGGCACCUUGACGGUACCUAACCAGAAAGCCACGGCUAACUACGUGCCAGCAGCCGCGGUAAUACGUAGGUGGCAAGCGUUAUCCGGAAUUAUUGGGCGUAAAGCGCGCGCAGGUGGUUUCUUAAGUCUGAUGUGAAAGCCCACGGCUCAACCGUGGAGGGUCAUUGGAAACUGGGAGACUUGAGUGCAGAAGAGGAAAGUGGAAUUCCAUGUGUAGCGGUGAAAUGCGUAGAGAUAUGGAGGAACACCAGUGGCGAAGGCGACUUUCUGGUCUGUAACUGACACUGAGGCGCGAAAGCGUGGGGAGCAAACAGGAUUAGAUACCCUGGUAGUCCACGCCGUAAACGAUGAGUGCUAAGUGUUAGAGGGUUUCCGCCCUUUAGUGCUGAAGUUAACGCAUUAAGCACUCCGCCUGGGGAGUACGGCCGCAAGGCUGAAACUCAAAGGAAUUGACGGA